This 345-nucleotide ribosomal RNA is filed under the name uncultured Aquimarina sp. Its description in RNAcentral is "bacterial SSU rRNA". It matches the Rfam family "Bacterial small subunit ribosomal RNA", at positions 383 to 725 of the family's 1533-position model. The record is from RNAcentral. Lineage: Bacteria; Pseudomonadati; Bacteroidota; Flavobacteriia; Flavobacteriales; Flavobacteriaceae.
CUGAUCCAGCCAUGCCGCGUGCAGGAAGACUGCCCUAUGGGUUGUAAACUGCUUUUAUACAGGAAGAAACCACCUGACGUGUCGGUGGCUGACGGUACUCUACGAAUAAGGAUCGGCUAACUCCGUGCCAGCAGCCGCGGUAAUACGGAGGAUCCAAGCGUUAUCCGGAAUCAUUGGGUUUAAAGGGUCCGUAGGCGGGUAAUUAAGUCAGAGGUGAAAGUUUGCGGCUCAACCGUAAAAUUGCCUUUGAUACUGGUAGUCUUGAAUUAUUGUGAAGUGGUUAGAAUGUGUAGUGUAGCGGUGAAAUGCAUAGAUAUUACACAGAAUACCGAUUGCGAAGGCAGA